Molecule: ribosomal RNA, 379 nt
Filed under: uncultured Pelotomaculum sp.
Lineage: Bacteria; Bacillati; Bacillota; Clostridia; Eubacteriales; Desulfotomaculaceae
Description: bacterial SSU rRNA
Rfam family: Bacterial small subunit ribosomal RNA
Source: RNAcentral
GUACGUUUUCACCUCGGGUGACAGGGAGACAGGUGGUGCGAUGGUUGUCGUCAGCUCGUGUCGUGAGAUAUUGGGUUAAGUCCCGCAACGAGCGCAACCCCUACGUUUAGUUGCUAACGCGUGAAGGCGAGCACUCUAGACGAACUGCCGUUGACAAAACGGAGGAAGGUGGGGAUGACGUCAAGUCAGCAUGGCCUUUAUGUCCUGGGCUACUACACACGCUACAAUGGCCAACACAAUAGGUUGCUAAGCCGCGAGGUGGAGCCAAUCCUCAAAGUUGGUCUCAGUUCAGAUUGCAGGCUGCAACCCGCCUGCAUGAAGAUGGAGUUGCUAGUAACCGCAGGUCAGCUAUACUGCGGUGAAUACGUUCCCGGGGCUU